AGGGACCUGCGGUGUACGCGAAUCCGAGCCGAUAUGUUUUGAGCCAACACCAAAACAUAGGGAACCUGAUCCCGAGGUUGAUGGCCGUCCAGCCCCCACCAAAAGCGGUGUUGGGGACUUCGAAAAUCAACGGGAGGUGCCCACCUGCCCAGCGGCAGGUUCAAAACGUCGGUGAGUUACGGCACGGUGGGAACGGA
RNAcentral lists this non-coding RNA (197 nucleotides) under Bacillota bacterium. RNAcentral's name for it is "6S RNA". It matches the Rfam family "6S / SsrS RNA". Rfam says of the family: E. coli 6S RNA was the first non coding RNA to be sequenced, but its function was unknown until recently. The record is from RNAcentral. Lineage: Bacteria; Bacillati; Bacillota.